Molecule: non-coding RNA, 295 nt
Organism: Pelobates cultripes (western spadefoot toad)
Lineage: Eukaryota; Metazoa; Chordata; Amphibia; Anura; Pelobatidae
Source: the annotation of a GenBank genome assembly
CGGUUGUAGAUUGAGGAUUUCCAUCUCCCCAAUCUUUUGAUAAUAUGCACCGGAGUGUCAGUACUGGAAGUGGCGGAAGCGGCCUCUAUUCUAAAUGAAUGUCCUGAGAAUGAUGCUGGAUUGAAACCUAAUCUCAGGAGUAGGGUUCUGAUAUAGAAGAUGAAUUUAGCAGUGGUAAGGGGCAACCUCUGAAGUGAGAGAAGUGAUAAAUUAUAUAUGAUAUGAUCGAGUGUGGCCAGGUAGGAGUCAAGUAUUUUUAACGGGCACCAUUUGUUCUCGGUGAGGGAUAGUGGAU